CCUACGGGAGGCAGCAGUGAGGAAUAUUGGUCAAUGGACGGAAGUCUGAACCAGCCAUUCCGCGUGCAGGAAGACGGCUCUAUGAGUUGUAAACUGCUUUUGUACAAGGGUAAACCUGAAUACGUGUAUUCAGCUGAAAGUACUGUACGAAUAAGGAUCGGCUAACUCCGUGCCAGCAGCCGCGGUAAUACGGAGGAUCCAAGCGUUAUCCGGAUUUAGUGGGUUUAAAGGGUGCGUAGGCGGAUUGAUAAGUUAGAGGUGAAAGUUCCGAGCUUAACUCGGGAACUGACUCUAAUACUGUUGAUCUAGAGAGUAGAUGCGGUAGGCGGAAUGUAUGGUGUAGCGGUGAAAUGCUUAGAGAUCAUACAGAACACCGAUUGCGAAGGCAGCUUACCAAUCUAUAUCUGACGUUGAGGCACGAAAGCGUGGGGAGCAAACAGGAUUAGAUACCCGGGUAGUC
This 460-nucleotide ribosomal RNA is filed under the name uncultured bacterium. RNAcentral describes it as "partial 16S ribosomal RNA". It matches the Rfam family "Bacterial small subunit ribosomal RNA", at positions 338 to 795 of the family's 1533-position model. The record is from RNAcentral.